UUGUGCUUGAUACUUGUGAUAUCUAAAUAUGUUAGUUGGGUCUGUUUAAAAUGCAGUAACCCACAUGUGAGACAAGCUAAUCGCUAGCGUCGCUAACGGCUACAGUGAGUCAACCGAGCCUUUGUCCCUUUCAAAUGUGCUACUCUGAGUUGGUGCAACCACACACCUGUGUGGGGAACAGCUAAUAGCGAUAGGCCUUCGAUCGGCGACAGGCAGGAAGCGGUGGAUCGAGCUUUUGUCCUGUUGACGUGCUGCCGCUCCUGUUUGUGUGUUGCGUUAGCCGUUAGCAUGCCUUUAGGUCUUUGCACUUUAGAGCUACAGCUGGUCGAUCGCUACAAAAAGAACCUGCAGAUGAACGCGGUUAUGUUUAUUACCCCGUCCUGUGUCAGAGCCUAAAUCAACUUGUGAUUUGGGGUUAUGUCAUUGUUCUAUCAAAUUCUAACAUGAUUAGUUGGAAUGAUUACUGUGUUGUGUUGCAAGCUUAGUUGCUAAUUAGUCACAUCUCUACAAUACCUGCUGCUUAUCUGGUCAGUUACCGAUAGCUUGUACCAUAGCCAUUAUAUUUGUAGGACCAAUACAAUUUACAGUAAAUGUAACAGUCUUUUCUAUACUGUAGGAGGGCAAAUCCCAGUUGCCCACAUGCAAGGAGGCUGUCAAACAGAGAAAUCACUGCAGACUGUUGGUACACAGACAUCUGCUGCCCAGCUCAGGAGUGAAGGUGAUGGUGAGGACAGCCACAGCUUCCAUCUGGUAGAGGACUGCUUCCGCUCAGUCUUCCAAAUAGUGAUGAGAACAAGGAUCACCACAUCUCCCUGUUUACCCUACUUUCAUGCAUUUCGUCUGCAAGGCCCUGCAAAAGCUUCUCCUUCGUCCUCAAACCCCCAGACUUCUUAAUUAACUCAGUAACCUAUACAUUGCACAUUGGAGUGUGAAGGUAACAGUUUGUUCUAGCUUUGGAGUAGUGGUGUAUUUUUUUGGUUUACAAUAAAGUUGGCUUUAACUAUUA
This is a long non-coding RNA of Betta splendens (Siamese fighting fish), 1006 nucleotides long. RefSeq lists it as uncharacterized. The transcript is spliced from 2 exons. The record is from RefSeq and is a predicted model, not a curated record. Lineage: Eukaryota; Metazoa; Chordata; Actinopteri; Anabantiformes; Osphronemidae.